This 76-nucleotide ribosomal RNA is filed under the name Allobacillus salarius. Its description in RNAcentral is "Allobacillus sp. SKP4-8 partial 16S ribosomal RNA". It matches the Rfam family "Bacterial small subunit ribosomal RNA", at positions 1465 to 1533 of the family's 1533-position model. Lineage: Bacteria; Bacillati; Bacillota; Bacilli; Caryophanales; Bacillaceae. The record is from RNAcentral.
GGGCCAAUGAUUGGGGUGAAGUCGUAACAAGGUAGCCGUAUCGGAAGGUGCGGCUGGAUCACCUCCUUUCUAAGGA